RNAcentral lists this unclassified non-coding RNA (238 nucleotides) under uncultured Clavulina. RNAcentral's name for it is "sequence contains ITS2". The record is from RNAcentral. Lineage: Eukaryota; Fungi; Basidiomycota; Agaricomycetes; Cantharellales; Hydnaceae.
AAUUUCUCAAGCUAGGAUGGCUUUUUGUCUGUCCUUAGCCUUGGUUGUUGGGCUUUGCCGUGUCCUUCAUUGGGGACGGCUGGCCUUAAAAGCAUUAGCUGAUCCUCGUGUGGCACUGGUUCUACUCAGCGUGAUAACAGUCUGAUCGCUGAGGACAUCUUUUGGGAUGGCCAGUCCUCAUUUGGAUUGCUUCUAAACCUGGUUUCACAGAUUCUUCAAUCUGUGUUCCACUUUUCAG